ACGGUCCUAAGGUAGCGAAAUUCCUUGUCGGGUAAGUUCCGACCCGCACGAAUGGCGUAACGAUGGCCACACUGUCUCCUCCCGAGACUCAGCGAAGUUGAAGUGGUUGUGAAGAUGCAAUCUACCCGCUGCUAGACGGAAAGACCCCGUGAACCUUUACUGUAGCUUUGCAUUGGACUUUGAAGUCACUUGUGUAGGAUAGGUGGGAGGCUUUGAAGCAGAGACGCCAGUCUCUGUGGAGCCGUCCUUGAAAUACCACCCUGGUGUCUUUGAGGUUCUAACCCAGACCCGUAAUCCGGGUCGGGGACCGUGCAUGGUAGGCAGUUUGACUGGGGCGGUCUCCUCCCAAAGAGUAACGGAGGAGUUCGAAGGUUACCUAGGUCCGGUCGGAAAUCGGACUGAUAGUGCAAUGGCAAAAGGUAGCUUAACUGCGAGACCGACAAGUCGAGCAGGUGCGAAAGCAGGACAUAGUGAUCCGGUGGUUCUGUAUGGAAGGGCCAUCGCUCAACGGAUAAAAGGUACUCCGGGGAUAACAGGCUGAUUCCGCCCAAGAGUUCAUAUCGACGGCGGAGUUUGGCACCUCGAUGUCGGCUCAUCACAUCCUGGGGCUGUAGUCGGUCCCAAGGGUAUGGCUGUUCGCCAUUUAAAGUGGUACGUGAGCUGGGUUUAAAACGUCGUGAGACAGUUUGGUCCCUAUCUGCAGUGGGCGUUGGAAGUUUGACGGGGGCUGCUCCUAGUACGAGAGGACCGGAGUGGACGAACCUCUGGUGUACCGGUUGUAACGCCAGUUGCAUAGCCGGGUAGCUAAGUUCGGAAGAGAUAAGCGCUGAAAGCAUCUAAGCGCGAAACUCGCCUGAAGAUGAGACUUCCCUUGUGGUUUAACCACACUAAAGAGUCGUUCGAGACCAGGACGUUGAUAGGUGGGGUGUGGAAGCGCGGUAACGCGUGAAGCUAACCCAUACUAAUUGCUCGUGAGGCUUGACUCU
RNAcentral lists this ribosomal RNA (986 nucleotides) under human oral metagenome. RNAcentral describes it as "bacterial LSU rRNA". It matches the Rfam family "Bacterial large subunit ribosomal RNA", at positions 1945 to 2925 of the family's 2925-position model. The record is from RNAcentral.